GGGCGGAUGGCGAAAUUGGUAGACGCACCACACUCAAAAUGUGGCGACUUCGGUCAUGUCGGUUCGAGUCCGACUCUGCCCACUA
This 85-nucleotide transfer RNA is filed under the name Limnospira platensis PCC 7345. Its description in RNAcentral is "tRNA-Leu". It matches the Rfam family "tRNA". Rfam says of the family: Transfer RNA (tRNA) molecules are approximately 80 nucleotides in length. Their secondary structure includes four short double-helical elements and three loops (D, anti-codon, and T loops). RNAcentral also lists the same sequence under 9 other names. Lineage: Bacteria; Bacillati; Cyanobacteriota; Cyanophyceae; Oscillatoriales; Sirenicapillariaceae. The record is from RNAcentral.